UACGUAGGGGCCUAGCGUUGUCCGGAAUCAUUGGGCGUAAAGAGCUCGUAGGCGGUUCGGCAAGUCACGUGUGAAAUCUCCACGCUUAACGUGGAGGCGCCACGUGAAACUGCCGUGACUCGAGUCCGGUAGGGGAGUGUGGAAUUCCCGGUGUAGCGGUGAAAUGCGUAGAUAUCGUGGAGAACACCCGUGGCGAAGGCGGGUUUCUGGCAGACUUCUGACGCUGAGGUGCGAAAGCUAGGGGAGCGAACGGG
RNAcentral lists this ribosomal RNA (254 nucleotides) under uncultured bacterium. RNAcentral's name for it is "partial 16S ribosomal RNA". It matches the Rfam family "Bacterial small subunit ribosomal RNA", at positions 524 to 776 of the family's 1533-position model. The record is from RNAcentral.